This 448-nucleotide ribosomal RNA is filed under the name uncultured bacterium. Its description in RNAcentral is "partial 16S ribosomal RNA". It matches the Rfam family "Bacterial small subunit ribosomal RNA", at positions 29 to 523 of the family's 1533-position model. The record is from RNAcentral.
GCGAACGCUGGCGGCAGGCCUAAUACAUGCAAGUCGAACGGCUUCUUCGGAAGCAGUGGCGGACGGGUGAGUAACGCGUGGGAACGUGCCCUUUGGUACGGAACAACUGAGGGAAACUUCAGCUAAUACCGUAUGUGCCCUUCGGGGGAAAGAUUUAUCGCCAUUGGAGCGGCCCGCGUUAGAUUAGCUAGUUGGUGGGGUAAAGGCCUACCAAGGCAACGAUCUAUAUCUGGUCUGAGAGGAUGAUCAGCCACACUGGGACUGAGACACGGCCCAGACUCCUACGGGAGGCAGCAGUAGGGAAUCUUGCGCAAUGGGCGAAAGCCUGACGCAGCCAUGCCGCGUGAAUGAUGAAGGUCUUAGGAUUGUAAAAUUCUUUCACCGGGGACGAUAAUGACGGUACCCGGAGAAGAAGCUCCGGCUAACUUCGUGCCAGCCGCCGCCGUAA